This 646-nucleotide long non-coding RNA is filed under the name Cricetulus griseus (Chinese hamster). RNAcentral describes it as "lncRNA (ENSCGRG00015034690.1)". Lineage: Eukaryota; Metazoa; Chordata; Mammalia; Rodentia; Cricetidae. The record is from RNAcentral.
CAGGAGCAUAACAUAAGCACAGGCAGUUGUGAGCUGUCCCUAGUGGUUGCUGAUAACUCUUAUCUGCUGAGCCGUUUCUCCAGUCUCUCCACUGAGCCUGGAGCUCACUGAUUAGGUGCUAACAUUCCAUCCCUGGUUUGUAUGGUGCUGGGGGAUUGAACCUAGGUCCUUGGUCAUGCUGGGCCUGCAAGGUGCCCACCAUGGAGCACGGCUCACCUCUCUUGGAUGAAGCCCAGAGAGCCCUCGGUGCACAGACCGUAGGAAAUCACCCAGCUGAAGAGCUCAUUUUCUUUCAGGAUCAGUGUUGGAAGCUGCUGCGAUUCAAACGAGCAAAUGUUAGCUUCGAGAGGAAAUUGAUAAUUAUGCGAGGUCUGUUAAAUGAUCGUUGGCCAAGCACAUUUCAUUCCUUCAAAUGAGCUCGUGUCUACAGUUGUGGCAAUCGUUCACAGGCCAGGAAAGAAAACCAGCUCAGAUGAGGAUGGGCAUCACUUCCAAUAGGUCGUCGAGGUUCGAAGCACCUGGAAAGAAGUCAUCCGUUGGAGGCUGCAAACCAGAUUUAGUUGUAAUGUGAAUGAUUAGCCUAUAUUAACUCAUAAAUUAGAUACAUUAUCCUAAACUGCACUGAAUAAAUAUUGAGUAUGUAAGA